This is a long non-coding RNA of Arabidopsis thaliana (thale cress), 487 nucleotides long. RefSeq annotates it as other RNA. The transcript has a single exon. Lineage: Eukaryota; Viridiplantae; Streptophyta; Magnoliopsida; Brassicales; Brassicaceae. The record is from RefSeq.
AACUUGAAUCACACCUGGUUGUUCUGCAACAUCCAAAUCCCCAAAAGCAUAUAAGAAAAACAGAACAAAGACAAAAAAAAAAAACAUUGAUCAAGUUGAAAACUUUAUCCUGUUUUUCCUAAGCCUACAUACACAAAAUCGUGCAUUCAUGACUAUAUGAUUCUAUUUCUACAGGUUCACAUGCGCCUAUCUUAACCUGACAGAAACAUUCAAACAUCACAAAUCAUGGAACAGUUUAUGAACUUGGACUAAAAAUGGAAUUUACUUCAACCUUGGUGACAAUUGGAUCUUUCAUUGUUUCAGUGGAAUCGAUGAUCACAAGUUCAAAACCAGAUAAGCACUUAAACCAAUUAAACUAAAUCAAACAAAGAAGCUACUAGAGACUUAUGCAUUCAACGGGUUCUAUGCUCUCCAAGUUACAAGUGCAGGAUCAAACGAGAAAUCUAAUGGAAAAAAAAACGUACUUGAUAUCUCAGCGACUUGCUCA